RNAcentral lists this ribosomal RNA (254 nucleotides) under uncultured bacterium. Its description in RNAcentral is "partial 16S ribosomal RNA". It matches the Rfam family "Bacterial small subunit ribosomal RNA", at positions 524 to 776 of the family's 1533-position model. The record is from RNAcentral.
UACAGAGGGGGGCAAGCGUUAUUCGGAAUUAUUGGGCGUAAAGGGCGCGUAGGCGGCUAUCCAAGUGGCGGGUGAAAUCCCUCGGCUUAACCGAGGAACUGCCUGCCAGACUGGAUGGCUCGAGACCGGGAGAGGUGAGUGGAAUUCCCAGUGUAGCGGUGAAAUGCGUAGAUAUUGGGAGGAACACCAGUGGCGAAGGCGACUUCUUGGCCUGUUCUUGACGCUGAGGCGCGAAAGCUGGGGGAGCAAACGGG